CUCGUGUUCCCACUCCCUGAGCGUUGCUGUGUCCCAGCUGCCCAAGGAGUGCAGCUCCAACCCGCUCCUGCUGUGCUCCUGUAUCCUGAAAAGAUUCCUCACACCUCCAGGGGUCUGUGUAAAGAUUAAUUGCUGCUGGAGAGCAAAACUGCAGUACUUGCCUUUUGCUUGAAGACUUUUUGUUCUUGAUAAACAUUGUCUUAAAUAUCAAAAUAUUAGCUUUACUUACCUGUGCUUUUAAUUUAUAAUCAGACACUAAGCUAGCUGACUUGCAAACUAACAGAUGCACCGUUCAAUUCUUUAAAUAGUAUGUUUGACAUUCCUUAAAAAAAACCCCAAACAAACCCCCCAAAACCUCUCACAGUUAUAUAAUUACAGUGUAUUCAUUUUUUGACUGUUCAGAGGCCAAACUAAUUUAAUUUCACUGACAAAACUUCAAUAUAUCUUUUUCUAUUUUAUUAGACAGAGUGCACUAAAGUUUGAAGUUAUGUGUAAUCUGUUUUUAUGUUUCACUAGUUUGAUGUGGUUUCCUUUCAGGUGAGAUGAAAACCCUUCCUGUGACUCCUGCCACUGAUAAGGGGGAUCAGUGGAUGCGGGUUUGAUUGUAAUAUCCAGCUGAAUGCUGAAUGAGUCCCUGCUCUGUGCUACAUUCCCACUGAUUCUAUCCAGAGUGACUGAGCAGAUCUUACUCCUUGUACAAUGGUGUCUAAUGCUAUUUUAUCCCAGCUCAAAGUGUAUAUUCUUGAUUUAGUUCAAGAAAAUGUACAUUACUGGGGAGAAAAUGGGAAUUUAGUGCUGGCACAUUGUGAUGCCUGAUGCAGAUGAUAAAACUGCAACUCCAAGCCUGUUUACAGCUUGUGUAACUGCUGAAGCUCGAAGGGAACACAGCCUCCCACCCUCUCUCAAUGCUUCAGGAGACAGGGAUCCAAGCCCUGCCAAGGCAAACUGGUGGAGUGAAGUUAAGCACAAUUUCAAGGGAUGUGACUUGUCUGCAAGUUGUCACCCGUAAAGCAUUCAGCUCUUUUCAGAGCCAUGAUGGCUUUCAUUACCACAGCAGCUGCUUUAGUUCUGCUGCACUGCUGUGUCUUACAGUCCAUGAGAGAGAGAGGGGGAGAGAGAGAGAGAGAGAGGGAGGUUCUGAGCCGUGCCUGGGGCUGCUCAGCUGGAGGCUCCUGCUCUUGUUGCUGCAGCGGGUCCAUCUCAGGUCAGUGGCACCUGAGCUGUGCAGGCUGACUGCUGCCCUUGGGGCUGUGCCCCUGGGUGCAGGGGGGCUGUGUGGGACCCAGCUCCUCCCGUGGGGGGAACUGCCAGUGCAGGUAACACCCCAUCACCCCUGGGAACGUGCCUGUUCCCACUCCUUGUGCAGCAGUGAAUGUUGUAAAGCCCAGCAGCCAAGGGAAGAUGUUUAACUUAGGCCUGCUGGGAUCCUGUGAGCUUUAGGUGGGCAGCAGUGACCCCUUUAGGUGGGGCCUCUGGCAGUGCAGGGCAUGGACAGAAGUGCUGUGAUCACCCCCCAAACGCUGUUCAUUAGACCUCUCUAGUAUCUCAGGAGGACAUGUACCUCUCUGAGAAGUGACUCUGUGUGUUAGAUGUGUUUAAUCCAGACUUCUCUCUCCAUUUUGAUUUGGAGGAAAAAUCUGUUACGAUUUUUCUAAAUGUUUUCUCUCCUUGCUUCCCUCUUCCUCCCUGUCCCAAACCAGAAAGCUUUGGGAUAGUGUUGAUGUUCAUACAUUUUACACCUAAGUAUAAGAACAUGAAACCAUGUAUAUUAAUCGUAUUUAAGCAACUGCAAAUCAAUAGCUGCUGUUUAAAGCCAACAGAACAGUGUAAGUUUUAAGUUCAGUAAGUAUUGUAGAGAUAAACCUUGUUUGAUUGAUGAAAAUUGUGCAUAAAAUGUUACCAAUGCUGUAAAUUAUUUUUAAUAAAGAAAAUUGUAUCACAGUUCUUGUAUGUUAC
This is a long non-coding RNA of Manacus vitellinus (golden-collared manakin), 1956 nucleotides long. Lineage: Eukaryota; Metazoa; Chordata; Aves; Passeriformes; Pipridae. The record is from Ensembl.